This 414-nucleotide ribosomal RNA is filed under the name uncultured Bacteroidota bacterium. Its description in RNAcentral is "bacterial SSU rRNA". It matches the Rfam family "Bacterial small subunit ribosomal RNA", at positions 363 to 774 of the family's 1533-position model. Lineage: Bacteria; Pseudomonadati; Bacteroidota. The record is from RNAcentral.
CUUGGUCAAUUGGCGAAAGCCAGAACCAGUCAUGCCGCGUGCAGGAUGAAGGCCCUACGGGUCGUAAACUGCUUUUAUUCGGGAAGAAAAAGUCUGUUUCCACAGACCUUGACGGUACCGAUUGAAUAAGGACCGGCCAACUCCGUGCCAGCAGCCGCGGUAAUACGGAGGGUCCAAGCGUUAUCCGGAUUCACUGGGUUUAAAGGGUGCGCAGGCGGCUAAGUAAGUCAGUGGUGAAAGCCUUCGGCUCAACCGGAGAAUUGCCAUUGAAACUACUUAGCUUGAGUGCAGUAGAGGUAGGCGGAAUGUAGCAUGUAGCGGUGAAAUGCAUAGAUAUGCUACAGAACACCGAUAGCGAAAGCAGCUUACCACACUGUAACUGACGCUGAGGCACAAAAGCAUGGGUAGCAAACA